This 618-nucleotide ribosomal RNA is filed under the name uncultured bacterium. RNAcentral's name for it is "bacterial SSU rRNA". It matches the Rfam family "Bacterial small subunit ribosomal RNA", at positions 202 to 842 of the family's 1533-position model. The record is from RNAcentral.
CAAAGGUGAGCCAGUACAGGAUGGACCCGCGUCUGAUUAGCUAGUUGGUAAGGUAACGGCUUACCAAGGCGACGAUCAGUAGCCGACCUGAGAGGGUGAUCGGCCACAUUGGAACUGAGACACGGUCCAAACUCCUACGGGAGGCAGCAGUGGGGAAUAUUGCACAAUGGGCGAAAGCCUGAUGCAGCAACGCCGCGUGAGUGAUGAAGGCCUUCGGGUCGUAAAACUCUGUCCUCAAGGAAGAUAAUGACGGUACUUGAGGAGGAAGCCCCGGCUAACUACGUGCCAGCAGCCGCGGUAAUACGUAGGGGGCUAGCGUUAUCCGGAUUUACUGGGCGUAAAGGGUGCGUAGGCGGUCUUUCAAGUCAGGAGUGAAAGGCUACGGCUCAACCGUAGUAAGCUCUUGAAACUGGGAGACUUGAGUGCAGGAGAGGAGGGUGGAAUUCCUAGUGUAGCGGUGAAAUGCGUAGAUAUUAGGAGGAACACCAGUUGCGAAGGCGGCUCUCUGGACUGUAACUGACGCUGAGGCACGAAAGCGUGGGGAGCAAACAGGAUUAGAUACCCUGGUAGUCCACGCUGUAAACGAUGAGUACUAGGUGUCGGGGGUUACCCCCUUCG